GGAGAUGAUAUUGGGAUGGGAGAAGGGAGGGUGUGAGGGAGGACUGUGUCCCUAUCUGAAUCUUUGGGCUUCUCAGUGUGCGUUGGGAAGGGAGACAGUUAUCUGUUUCUGAGCAGGAAAGAGAAACUACUCACAACAGAGACAAAGCUCCUCAAUCUCUCAACAAAGAUGAACCAAAUCUUUGCAUGAGGAAUCACAGUCAAUGUAAUGUAAGAGAUUUUAUCAUGGGAGUCCAUGGGCAUCGCUGAUGAACCCUAAAGUUCAAACCAAGUGUCUCAAGUAGUCGGACAGCCUUUGUUCCCUUGCCCAGGAAUUUUUCUCUUUUUUAACUUGAGGGUAGUGAGGUCGCUGGCAUCUUCUUGUGUGUGGCACAGUGAACUACCUUUUGCUUCCGAGCAUCUGCUACUACAAUGUUGUGUGUCUGGGGAGAGGAAAAAGCUCUCUUCGUUCAAAUCUUUGUGGGUGGGAUCAGUGACUGCAAUAAGGGCAAUCAUCAUCAUCCCUAAGCCAUGACUUGCCCAUCACUUCAGUUAGAUGUCACGGACCCCAUUCCAUUCUUUCUGUGCUAUGUUUUGCACCAAACAAGCAGCCAAAAUCUAAGGUGAAGGGAAAACAAAAUGAAACAACCAGUAGCUGGUUCAAUCGGAGUCAUUGCGGCGAUGAACACUGAUAAUGCAAGAGGAAAAAAAAAAAGUAUAUGGGCUGGAUCACUGGGACAAGGGGGACCAUCUUCCAUCUAUAUGUUGUCGGUGGUUGAGGAGCUGACAAUGAGAGAUGAGGGCAAUAGAAGCGAGAUAACCCUCAAGAAUGUGCUCCAAUGAGUUACUUCUUGAAAACAACCAGCUGCAACUUGUAAUGGAUGAACAUAUCAGGUCAAUAAAUCAGCACACUGGUGAUAGUGCCAAACCAGUCUCCAAGCAGAACCGCACUGUCACUGAUGCCCUAGUUUGGUGAAAAGAGUGAGGGUGAAAAUGGCACAAACCCCCAAAAAUAUCAUGCUGAUUUACUAACCCAACAUUUUACAAGUAGUUGACGAAGCCCUGGAUAUUUAUUGCCAGGAGAGGUAAUAUACCUAUGAAAAACCAAUGGAGGCAAAUUGAAUACCAUGUUCCUGCUUUUCUGAAAAAAUAAUCUAUUAGGUGAGUAUGGUCUGAACGUGUCAAGAGUAAAAUAUUAUGAAUUGGAAACGUUGUUUGAAUGAGUCUUUACAGAGCUUUCUUUUACAACACCUCAAAAAUUCGAGCAACUCGCUAAGCAGCACCAACCUGACGAAUCUCGCCAUUUGCUAUCCGAGGAGAUACUCCUAGGAUAACUGUGAUCUAAUAUUUGGGCCAAUGCUGCAC
This is a long non-coding RNA of Zingiber officinale, 1343 nucleotides long. RefSeq lists it as uncharacterized. The transcript is spliced from 2 exons. The record is from RefSeq and is a predicted model, not a curated record. Lineage: Eukaryota; Viridiplantae; Streptophyta; Magnoliopsida; Zingiberales; Zingiberaceae.